GUCGUCAGUUCGUACUGUGAAGCAUCCUCGUUAAGUACAGGCGACGAGCGAGACCCACGUCCACAGUUGCCAGCAUACCCUCCGGGGUGAUGGGUACACUGUGGAGACCGCCGCUGCUAAAGCGGAGGAAGGAGUGGGCAACGGUAGGUCAGUAUGCCCCGAAUCUCCCGGGCUACACGCGGGCUACAAUGGUUGGUACAAUGGGCAUCUACCCCGAAAGGGGAAGGAAAUCUCUUAAAGCCAAUCGUAGUUCGGAUUGAGGGCUGCAACUCGCCCUCAUGAAGCUGGAAUCCGUAGUAAUCGCGUUUCAACAGAACGCGGUGAAUACGUCCCUGCUCCUU
Molecule: ribosomal RNA, 341 nt
Filed under: uncultured Methanosaeta sp.
Lineage: Archaea; Methanobacteriati; Methanobacteriota; Methanomicrobia; Methanotrichales; Methanotrichaceae
Description: bacterial SSU rRNA
Rfam family: Archaeal small subunit ribosomal RNA
Source: RNAcentral